RNAcentral lists this long non-coding RNA (711 nucleotides) under Physcomitrium patens. Its description in RNAcentral is "long non-coding RNA (PPAT_LNC013309)". The record is from RNAcentral. Lineage: Eukaryota; Viridiplantae; Streptophyta; Bryopsida; Funariales; Funariaceae.
CAAUUGUUACCUUUAAAACCUCCAUCUAUAAAUUAGUUUGGAUCUCCUUUAUUAUAGCUCUUCUACUUGUAUACUAAAGCUUAUUGAAAAGCUAAAAAUGAGAUAUAGCUUUUCUUAAAAUUUAAAAUCAAAAAAAAAAAAUACAAGAAAUGGCAUAGAAAAUGCCAAACUUAUCUUACAAACUGAUGCUUCAAAAAUUCCAACAAUCCCUCUUCCACAAACUUGUAUAGAUCUCUCUUUUCACAAAUUUUCUUAUUAAAUGCUAAAACUUAUUUAAAAACUAAAAAAAAGAUCCAUAUUUUUUUAAAAUAUCAAAACCAAAAGAAAAAAAUAUAAGAAAUGGUACAAAAAUCCUUGAACUGGUCUUGAAUUUUGUUGCUUGAAAAAUUGAGCAAUCUCUCUCCUACAAACUUAUAUGAAUCUCUCUUUUUAUAGCUUUUCUUAUUGCAUACUUAAGAUUUUUAGAGAGCUAAUCAUAAAAUCUAGCUUAUUUCAAAAUUCCAAUAUAAAAAACUAAAAAUUCAAUGAAUGGCAUAAAAAAUCCCAAAUUGGUCUUGAAUCAUGCUGCCUAAAAAUUCUAGUGACCUUUCUCCCACAAAUUUGCAUGGAUCUUUAUUGUCACAAUUCUUCUUCUUGCAUGCCAAGGCUUAUUGAAAAAUAAACAAUAAGAUCUAGGUACUUUCAAAAUCUCAAGACAAAAAGAUGAAAAUU